This 434-nucleotide ribosomal RNA is filed under the name uncultured soil bacterium. Its description in RNAcentral is "partial 16S ribosomal RNA". It matches the Rfam family "Bacterial small subunit ribosomal RNA", at positions 62 to 482 of the family's 1533-position model. The record is from RNAcentral.
UCGAACGCGACUUAUUUUGUUAGCAAUAACGAAGUAAGUUGAGUGGCGAAAGGGUGCGCAACACGUGGGAAUUUACCAAAAAGUGGGGAAUAGCUUGGCGAAAGCCAAAUUAAUACCGCAUGUGAUCGAAAGAUCAAAGCCGGGGACCGCAAGGCCUGGCGCUUUUUGAGAAGCCCGCGGCCCAUCAGCUAGUUGGCGAGGUAAAAGCUCACCANGGCUAUGACGGGUAGCUGGUCUGAGAGGACGACCAGCCACACUGGAACUGAGACACGGUCCAGACACCUACGGGUGGCAGCAGNCGAGAANUNNUCACAAUGGACGAAAGUCUGAUGGAGCGACGCCGCGUGGAGGAUGAAGGUUUUCGGANNNUAAACUCCUGUCACUGCAGAACAAGGCGGUGCGUAUGAACAGUACNNNCCGUUGAUGGUGUGCGG